AAACAGCCAAAUGACAGUUAUUUAUGCUUGAGGGCAAAUACACAAAUCCAUCAAUUAAAACCUGAAUUUAUGUCAUCAGGUGCUGCUGGAAUCCUUUUGGCAGGUCAAGCCAUCGUGUGGACUGUGGGAGCCGUGAUGGGUGCCGCUGCCAGCAACUGUACUUUGUAACCAGUUCAUUUUAUUGUAUCAGUAACUAGUGCUGUAUAUGUAUCUCUUUAUAUGUUCAUUAUCUCGUUGUCUGUCAUGGUGAUCAGAAUCUCUUGAAUGUUGUGCUGUAUCAGUAGCCCUAGGCUUAGGUGUGUAUGAGAUCUUCUUUUAAUACACACCUGCGUUAAAGGUGCUGUUUAUAGCACUGACAAUACAAGAA
This is a long non-coding RNA of Carassius carassius (crucian carp), 367 nucleotides long. RefSeq lists it as uncharacterized. NCBI's taxonomy places the organism in Eukaryota, Metazoa, Chordata, Actinopteri, Cypriniformes, Cyprinidae. The transcript has 2 exons. The record is from RefSeq and is a predicted model, not a curated record.